GACAGAGGUGCCAAGCGUUAGGCGGAAUCACUGGGCUUAAAGCGUGUGUAGGCGGAUUUGUAAGUACCUUGUGAAAUCCCACGGCUCAACCGUGGAACUGCUCGGUAUACUGCUUAUCUUGAGCCACUUAGGGGCUACCGGAACAAGUGGUGGAGCGGUGAAAUGCGUAGAUAUCAUUUGGAACGCCAAUGGUGAAAACAGGUAGCUGGGAGUGUGCUGACGCUGAGACACGAAAGCCAGGGGAGCGAACGGG
This 253-nucleotide ribosomal RNA is filed under the name uncultured bacterium. RNAcentral describes it as "partial 16S ribosomal RNA". It matches the Rfam family "Bacterial small subunit ribosomal RNA", at positions 524 to 776 of the family's 1533-position model. The record is from RNAcentral.